CCUACGGGUGGCUGCAGUGGGGAAUAUUGGACAAUGGGCGAAAGCCUGACCCAGCCAUGCCGCGUGUGUGAAGAAGGCCUUCGGGUUGUAAAGCACUUUCAGUUGGGAAGAAAGCCUUGGGGCUAAUACCCUCGAGGAAGGACAUCACCCACAGAAGAAGCACCGGCUAACUCCGUGCCAGCAGCCGCGGUAAUACGGAGGGUGCGAGCGUUAAUCGGAAUUACUGGGCGUAAAGCGCGCGUAGGCGGUCUGAUAAGCCGGUUGUGAAAGCCCCGGGCUCAACCUGGGAACGGCAUCCGGAACUGUCAGGCUAGAGUGCAGGAGAGGAAGGUAGAAUUCCCGGUGUAGCGGUGAAAUGCGUAGAGAUCGGGAGGAAUACCAGUGGCGAAGGCGGCCUUCUGGACUGACACUGACGCUGAGGUGCGAAAGCGUGGGUAGCAAACAGGAUUAGAUACCCCAGUAGUC
RNAcentral lists this ribosomal RNA (465 nucleotides) under Vreelandella stevensii. RNAcentral's name for it is "partial 16S ribosomal RNA". It matches the Rfam family "Bacterial small subunit ribosomal RNA", at positions 338 to 795 of the family's 1533-position model. Lineage: Bacteria; Pseudomonadati; Pseudomonadota; Gammaproteobacteria; Oceanospirillales; Halomonadaceae. The record is from RNAcentral.